UUCGGAUUGUAGUCUGCAACCCGACUACAUGAAGCUGGAAUCGCUAGUAAUCGCAGAUCAGAAUGCUGCGGUGAAUACGUUCCCGGGUCUUGUACACACCGCCCGUCACACCAUGGGAGUUGGAAAUGCCCGAAGUCGGUGACCUAACCGAAAGGGAGGAGCCGCCGAAGGCAGGUCUGAUAACUGGGGUGAAGUCGUAACAAGGUAAC
Molecule: ribosomal RNA, 209 nt
Filed under: uncultured bacterium
Lineage: Bacteria
Description: partial 16S ribosomal RNA
Rfam family: Bacterial small subunit ribosomal RNA
Source: RNAcentral